GGGGAGAGAUUCCAAUCGAACACGGAUAUAGCUGGUUCUCCCCGAAAUAGCUUUAGGGCUAGCGUCGAGGAUGAGUCUUGUGGAGGUAGAGCACUGAAUGUACGAUGGCCCCAUCCCGGGGUACUGAGUAUAAUCAAACUCCGAAUGCCAUGAGAUAUUCCCGGCAGUCAGACCGUGGGUGAUAAGGUCCAUGGUCAAAAGGGAAACAGCCCAGACCGCCAGUUAAGGUCCCAAAAUGUAUGCUAAGUGGAAAAGGAUGUGGGGAUGCACAGACAACUAGGAGGUUGGCUCAGAAGCAGCCAUCCUUCAAAGAGUGCGUAACAGCUCACUAGUCGAGUGACCCUGCGCCGAAAAUGUACCGGGGCUAAGCAUACUACCGAAGCUGCGGAUUUGUAGUAAUACAAGUGGUAGGGGAGCGUUCCAUGCACGUGGAAGCCAUACCGAAAGGAGUGGUGGAGAGCAUGGAAGUGAGAAUGCCGGUGUGAGUAGCGAGAUGCAGGUGAGAAUCCUGCACACCGAUAGCCCAAGGAUUCCAGGGGAAGGUUCGUCCGCCCUGGGUAAGUCGGGACCUAAGGCGAGGCCGAAAGGCGUAGUCGAUGGAAAACAGGCAGAUAUUCCUGUACCCGCGAUGGAAAUGAAGGAAUGACGGAGAAGGCUAGCAUGAGCCACUUAUUGGAUUGUGGUCGAAGCGAAUAGCAGGUGCAUAGUCAAAUGCGUGCACGGGAUGUAAAACGUGACAGGUAAGCGAAACCUUUGGGGAGUAGCGAAGCAUGCGAGGCCAGCUUCCAGGAAAAGUUUCUAGUGCUGAUUCCAUAGCGGCCCGUACCAAAACCGACACAGGUGGGCAAGGAGAGUAUCCUGAGGUGAGCGAGAGAACUGUUGCCAAGGAACUCGGCAAAAUGACUCCGUAAGUUAGCGAGAAGGAGUGCUUAUGAAAGUAAGCCGCAGUGAAGAGGCCCAAGCGACUGUUUAACUAAAACACAGCUCUCUGCGAAGUCGCAAGACGAAGUAUAGGGGGUGACGCCUGCCCGGUGCUGGAAGGUUAAGAGGAUUUGUCAUCCGCAAGGAGAAGCAAUGAAUUGAAGCCCCAGUGAACGGCGGCCGUAACUAUAACGGUCCUAAGGUAGCGAAAUUCCUUGUCGGGU
RNAcentral lists this ribosomal RNA (1145 nucleotides) under metagenome. Its description in RNAcentral is "bacterial LSU rRNA". It matches the Rfam family "Bacterial large subunit ribosomal RNA", at positions 818 to 1977 of the family's 2925-position model. The record is from RNAcentral.